GCUGUAGUGGUGUAAUGGUAACACACCUGCCUACUGAGCAAGGGGACCUGGGUUCAAAUCCCAGCUGUGGGACA
Molecule: non-coding RNA, 74 nt
Organism: Schistocerca cancellata (South American locust)
Lineage: Eukaryota; Metazoa; Arthropoda; Insecta; Orthoptera; Acrididae
Source: the annotation of a RefSeq genome assembly